CCCGAAUUCUCAGUUUGACCGAUCAUUUUCCCCUCUUCUUAGCCCUAAUUGCGGCACAGUAUGUGCUCAGUAGCGGAUUAGUAUAUAUAGGUCUCGUUCAUUCUUGUAGUGAACUUCAAAAGGAAAAGUAGUGUGACAACCAUGGGUGAGCAAGACCAAUUUCCUGGCAGUUGUAGUGAUGAUUAAAUGCCAAUUUUUUGAAAAACAACCUCAGAAAAAAAUGAAGAUUCAGGCAGAAUGUGCAGAAACUGGCAUUGAUUGGAUCAGUGAGUUGCCUGACUCUCUAAUUGUCCAAAUUCUUCUCUAAUGCCCGUAACAGAUGCCUUCAAAACAACUAUUCUCUGUAAACGUUGGCAAUACCUCUAUCGACAACGUUAUUUUUGACAGCAGGAAGACCAAGUGGUCUGAUAGCUAGGAAGUGGACAAGUUCAUUUCCUUCACGGACAAAGUACUACCUCUCCUUUGCUGCUCUAAAAUUAAAAAGUUCAGUCUAUAUUUCCAAUUUGGCUUUGUUGUGUCUUAUAGUUCCAAAAUUGACAAGUGGCUUGAAAUUGCUUUGAAGAAAAAGCUGGAGGAUGUUGACCUGGAAAUAUGGUAUCAUAAUCGAGAACCCUAUGUCUUGCCACAAGCUCUCUGCAGCAGCUCAUCGAUUCUUAAAUUAUAUUAAUUGAAUUGCAGAAUGCCAGAAGAAUGUGUACUAAAUUGGACAUUCCUAAAGAGUUUAACGCUAACAUAUUUGUUUCUCGGGGAUGAACAAAUAGCAUCAAGUUGUCCUCAGCUGGAAUCUUUGGAGCUACAAGAAUUUUGUGGUUUUCAUCGUUUGCAUAUAACUUCUCCCAAAUGUAGGAGAUUGCAAUUGAUCGAUUACAAACAUCCUGACAAAGGUUGGGGUUCACUUGGACGUGAUUGUUCCUUUGAAAUAGUUGCUCCAUAUGUUCAACAUAUAAAGUUUUCAGGCAUUUUGAUCAUGCGGAAGUUAAGCUUGGGGACCUUUCGUCUUUGGUCCAUGCUGAUCUUACUUUCUCUGUCGAUGCUGUAUAUGACAAAACCGUACAACAUCUCUUGGCAGUAUACGUUGUGCUUAAUGAGCUAAUGGUCCCAUGCUGGUUUAUUGAGGGCGAUUUCUUAGCCUCGGAUGAAUUGGACGAAGACAAUUCCCUCUCCUUGCAUGAAAACAUAUUCGAAGGCUCCUUACAGAAUUUGAAGAAUGCAGAGGUUACUUAAACCUGUUGUAGUUGUCAUCGCAGAGCUGACACAACAGAGUUCCUUACAGAAUUCUUGAAGUCUUUGCUUGAGCAUGCAAAUAAUCUUGAGAAACUGGUUAUUGAGCCAGUGCACAGGGGAUGCAACAUCUCUUCAACCAAUAUCUCAAAAGUGAUAAAGAAUUUGUUAGCCUUUCCCAGAGCUUCUAAUAGUGCAGUUGUUUUCUUAGGAUCAGUCUCUGGUGUUGACUUUCCUGGGGAGCAGAAACUUUUCUAUUGACCUUGUUUGUUCCCCAGAAUAUUUUUUUCGACAACUUUUGGAACUCUAAUAUUUUCGUAUGCGGUCAAUGUAUAGAAUUGUUAACCAUCAACUACAUAAGUAACUGAUAAAGAAGAUAAGUAAUCUGCUAUAAUUGAUUGAACUAUUGUGAUAGUGUAAAUUCUGAAUUGUUUUA
This is a long non-coding RNA of Nicotiana attenuata, 1657 nucleotides long. RefSeq lists it as uncharacterized. The transcript has 2 exons. Lineage: Eukaryota; Viridiplantae; Streptophyta; Magnoliopsida; Solanales; Solanaceae. The record is from RefSeq and is a predicted model, not a curated record.